GGCAGUUCUCAGGUGACACACUCCAGAAUCGGGCUUCCUCCUCUCUGGUUACAGGUGCGUCAACCUAGAACCACA
This is a non-coding RNA of Myotis davidii, 75 nucleotides long. Lineage: Eukaryota; Metazoa; Chordata; Mammalia; Chiroptera; Vespertilionidae. The record is from Rfam.